Molecule: long non-coding RNA, 1270 nt
Organism: Magnolia sinica
Lineage: Eukaryota; Viridiplantae; Streptophyta; Magnoliopsida; Magnoliales; Magnoliaceae
Exons: 4
Source: RefSeq, a predicted model, not a curated record
UCUCUCUCUCUCUCUCUCAACCCUAAUUCUUUCAAAAUCAGGGUUACUGAAGACUAGGGUUUUUGGAUGUGAGAUUGUUCGGAUCCUUCAUGGCCGAUCUUCCCAGCGACGCCGCGACAGCAGCGAGGGCUUCUCCCUGACAGCUCUGAACAAUGGUAGUACGGAUGCGCCGAAGCUGACGGUGUCGGGAUCGUUCAAGGGGUCAAGGAGGCGAACAUCGGUCCGGCCCAGCCUCGACGCAGAUGAGUUCAUAAAUCUGCUGCACAGGUCGGAUCUGGUCAAGGUGGAGUUGAAUCAAUUGGAGAAUGAAGUCAGAGAUAAGGAUCGGGAGUUGGGGGAAGCGCAGGCGGAGAUCAAGGCAUCGAGGUUAUCAGAACGUUUGAGAGAGAAGGCGGUCGAAGAGGUUUGCCAUCUCGUGCACAAUAUGAAAGGCGGAUGUUGAUGCAGUAGUAGUUAAAAUAGUCAUGGCUGGAGCUGGGUGUGAAAAUGGUAUUAAAGUGGAACAAGUGCUUGUGUAUAGUUUGCAAACCAUGGCAUGUCUUUGUGGAAUUUUCAGUGAGUGGGAAUGAGCUAAGUGAGACAUCAUCCAAAAAAAGAAAGCUCUGCAUGGAUGAGCACAUCUCUCAUGGGAAGGCAGAGCUCUCGCCUUGAUCAAUGGAAGGGAUUGGAAGCUCUAAGGCAUUUGAGAGGAGAAACAAGAGAGCAAAAAUCUGGCACCAUGCCCGAGACUUUUAGACAACGGGAUUUUGAAAAUGCCAAAGAAUAUUUGCUGAUUCACUUUGUCUCUUUUGCAGUCACAGCACUAAAAGAUCUUUUCAGUUUCCUGAACUUUGUUUUUGGAUGAUCCAAUAGCCCCAAUCUUUAUUGGGUUUUCCAAUUGAAUGUAGACAAGUGCUCAUUUUUUAUACAAACUUUUGUUAAUCUUCCAUCUAUAUGUCAUGAAUGGGUUUCUAGUUGCCUUGACUCGUGGACUAUGGCCCAUGAUAUCAACAGUCUUGAUAACCAUAGACAUGAAUCACAUGUACAAUGGGGAUGUCGUAGUUAGCACUUCAUGAAACUCCAUGAAGCGUGCACAUUGCAGUAACAUCCCUCCAAAUCAUAAACAUCCAUUGGAGCAAAGCCACGCAUCCAGAAUAACUCAAUCAACUGUUUUGGUUUUCAAUACAUUUCUUUGCCCAAUUUUGUCAGUAUUAUAGCCGAAUUAUCUGAACUGAGAAGACUUGCUUGCUUAAUCAGGCUGCGUCUGAAUCUUGGGGUAUUUUUGUCCGCU